RNAcentral lists this non-coding RNA (22 nucleotides) under Rattus norvegicus (Norway rat). The record is from RNAcentral. Lineage: Eukaryota; Metazoa; Chordata; Mammalia; Rodentia; Muridae.
CUGUUUGGGGAUCUUACGUCAC